CGCUAUCACUCCUACGGGAGGCAGCAGGUAGGGAAUCUUCCACAAUGGGCGCAAGCCUGAUGGAGACAACACCGCGUGAGUGAAGAAGGGUUUCGGCUCGUAAAGCUCUGUUGUUAAAGAAGAACACGUAUGAGAGUAACUGUUCAUACGUUGACGGUAUUUAACCAGAAAGUCACGGCUAACUACGUGCCAGCAGCCGCGGUAAUACGUAGGUGGCAAGCGUUAUCCGGAUUUAUUGGGCGUAAAGAGAGUGCAGGCGGUUUUCUAAGUCUGAUGUGAAAGCCUUCGGCUUAACCGGAGAAGUGCAUCGGAAACUGGAUAACUUGAGUGCAGAAGAGGGUAGUGGAACUCCAUGUGUAGCGGUGGAAUGCGUAGAUAUAUGGAAGAACACCAGUGGCGAAGGCGGCUACCUGGUCUGCAACUGACGCUGAGACUCGAAAGCAUGGGUAGCGAACAGGAUUAGAUACCCUGGUAG
RNAcentral lists this ribosomal RNA (475 nucleotides) under uncultured bacterium. Its description in RNAcentral is "bacterial SSU rRNA". It matches the Rfam family "Bacterial small subunit ribosomal RNA", at positions 328 to 793 of the family's 1533-position model. The record is from RNAcentral.